Molecule: non-coding RNA, 1542 nt
Organism: Vicugna pacos (alpaca)
Lineage: Eukaryota; Metazoa; Chordata; Mammalia; Artiodactyla; Camelidae
Source: RefSeq, a predicted model, not a curated record
GGAAGAACACAACACCAUCUGAGCUUUGCUAAGCUGAAUCUGAUCCAGUCUCUGGAUCCAGCUGCCCAUUUGCAGGAAAUACCAAGGACCGAGGAAGGAUCUCCUACUAUUCGCCUGUGUGGCCACUAAAGUAAUCCUCCACCAUUCCCAGACCUGCCCAGGAAGAUAGAGUAGACAUGCUUCUCCCGAUUCCUCCCACUGAGUACAGCUGGAACCCUCGGCGUUGUAUGUACAGCAGAUGGAAGACGAUGCUGAGAGGUGGGGAGACAGGAGGGCAAACCAGCUAAGGAGUUUGGGGCCCCAGAAACAAUGCCGUGAAAAUCACUCCCUGUAUCAAGCUCCAGGAAGAUUUCAAACUGAAUAAGAAAAGACAAUCAAUAGAUGACAGCACUGAGAUGACAGAGAUUCAGACUUAUCUGACCAGGUUUUAAAAGCACCGUCAUAAAAAUGCUUCGAUGAGCGAUUAUGAACAUGCUUAAAUCAAAUGGGAAAUAGAAACUCUCCAGAAGGAGAGAGAAGAUACAAAAUGAACCAAGUGGAAAUUUAGAAAUGAAAAGUACAGUAGCCAACAACCACCACCAAACCCAACGGAUAGGCUCAACAGCAGAAUGGGGAGGACGGAGAAAGGAACGGUGAACUUAAAGAUCAAAUAAUAGCAAGUAUCCAAUCUGAACAGCAGAGCAAAAACAGACUGAAAAGAAGAAGAAGGGAAAAAACCCCAGCACUUCAAGGACCGGUAGAACUGUAAACAAAGAUCUAAUAUUCUUGCCGGCAGCGUUCCAGGAGGAGAGGAGAAAAAUGGUGAGGCUGAAAAAAACUUUUUUAAAAAAGGUGAAAACUUCCCAAAUUUAGUGAAAGACAUAAAUCUGUAGAUUCAAGAAGCCAAGUGAAACUCAAAUAGAAUCCCCAAAGAAACCCACACCAAGUCACAUCAUCAUCAAACUUCUGAAAACAAAGCAAAGAAAGAACCUUGAAAACAGCCCAAGAGAAACAAAACCUUACCUCUAGUGAGUAGAAGAACAAUUCCAAAGACAACCUUUAGAUCCACCCAUUAUGAAAUACAAUUUUAUUCUACAAAGUGUUUCUCAACUGCUGGGUCUACGGUAUGACCCAGCAAUUACUCUUCUGGGCAUUUAUCCCAGAGAAAUGAAAACUUGUGUUCACAUUAAAAACCUGUACAUAAAUGUUUAUAGCAGCUUCAUUUGUUAAAAACCCCAAACUGGAAGUAACUCAGAUGUCUUUGUACAGGUAAAUAGAUUAACAAACACUGGUAUAACCAUACCGUGGGACACCACUCAACAAUUUAAAAAAAAAAAGGACAAACUAUUGAUACACGCCUGGAUGAAUCUGCAGGGAAUUAUUCUGAGUGAAAAAAGCCAAUCCUCAAAUGUUAUAUACUGUAUGAUUCUAUUUAUAUGACAUUUGGAAAUGACAAAAUUAUGCAAAUGGAAAACACUGGUUGCCAGGGGUAUCUGAAGGGGUUGUCAUGGAAGGGAAGUGGAUGUAGUUAUAAAAGGGCCACAUGAGGGGUCCUUGUAGCUA